RNAcentral lists this transfer RNA (97 nucleotides) under Lentinula detonsa. RNAcentral's name for it is "tRNA-Arg". It matches the Rfam family "tRNA". From Rfam's summary of the family: Transfer RNA (tRNA) molecules are approximately 80 nucleotides in length. Their secondary structure includes four short double-helical elements and three loops (D, anti-codon, and T loops). Lineage: Eukaryota; Fungi; Basidiomycota; Agaricomycetes; Agaricales; Omphalotaceae. The record is from RNAcentral.
GCCCCCGUUGUCUAAUGGUUAUGACGUCAGACUUCUAUGAUGUGUUCUAGAUUGUAAUCGAAUCUGGAGGUUGCGGGUUCGAGUCCCGCCGGGGGUU